This is a long non-coding RNA of Astatotilapia calliptera (eastern happy), 1240 nucleotides long. NCBI's taxonomy places the organism in Eukaryota, Metazoa, Chordata, Actinopteri, Cichliformes, Cichlidae. The record is from Ensembl.
CGACAGGUUUCACUAUCAGCAAAGAACGGAUGAAUGGAUGAAAGACUGGGAAUAAAAACAAACGGACUGACUGGUAAAAGAUGACAAGACUUGACCAUGACUCAAGGUUAACCACCUCCACCUAGAUAGGAUAAAAGGGUGGAUGAAUUUAUGUGGGUUUCUUUUACAGGAGUAGAAGGAUGACAAAAUAUUCGAGGAUGAGUGAACCUGUAAAUGCCAUUUUUGUGUCUUGUGUUGCUUACAGAGGUAACUGCGCAGCGUUACCAUUUACAUUUUCUUCCCUACAGGGUUACAGUUUUAAUGUUUUUCUAUUACAGGAUUUCUGGGCGGAUGUGUGAAGAAACGGUGUUUAUGGGUUAGGAGUUGGGGAUGCUAUUACACUGUAUUUACAGGAAAUGUUUUAUAGCACCUAUGGAAUGAGGAUGCCUGACUACGGUCAAUGUGCUGCUAAUGUUUGCUUUGCUUUGGUGAGAGGGGUGCAGUAGAAAACAGACAAGUGACAUGAAAACAAGUAAUAAUAACAAAUAACAAAUUUGGGGACAGUUUGACCUAGAGCCCACUAACUGGCCAUUAGGGGCUCUCGCUCUCGCUCUCCCUCUCUCUCUCUCUCUCUCUCUCUCUCUCUCUCUCUCUCUCUCAGGUUGUUGCUCUUUAACUCCUAGAACACGCCCUUGGCGAGGUGGGGGGAACUGGACCACCUUUCUGUGCCCCAUCAUCCUCUAUUAGACGACAUCCAAGCUAAGACAGCUGUUACUGCUUUCGUCGGGAACCGAGACUGCUUGCAGCCGACCCCUGGGCAGGGUGGUGCCUGGACUCUUUUCUCCUCAUCUGCAAUGACAGAUAAAGACAAAUGAUAAGACCCGAGGAGUUUUUCGAGCCAGGCUUCGACACGUCUCUGUGUUCCUUUGAAUGUUACUUAUUUUUGUGUGUUGACCCAUUUAAGAUGGGUCAAAAGGGGGAUUUGAAGAAAAUAUAAUCUGAUCAAACAUUAUUCAGCUUUAAAUAUUGUUCAGCUUUAAAGUUACUGUGCAACUGUGUAAUAAAAAUGUGCUCACGACUUUGGCCUUGAGAGCGAUAAGAAGCGAUCGCCUCAUUCUGCAGGUGCAAGAUAUCUGCAAGCGAAGAGACUAGAACACCCAAGGCCGCUUUCCUUUUAUGGAGUUGUUUUUCUGCUAAUGCAGCACUGUCCUCACAACCCCCUCCUGUAAGUUUUAGAGAAUAUAUACCCAUCCUCACAGCA